Molecule: ribosomal RNA, 467 nt
Filed under: uncultured bacterium
Lineage: Bacteria
Description: partial 16S ribosomal RNA
Rfam family: Bacterial small subunit ribosomal RNA
Source: RNAcentral
GACGAACGCUGGCGGCGUGCUUAACACAUGCAAGUCGAACGGAAAGGCUCCAGCUUGCUGGAGUGCUCGAGUGGCGAACGGGUGAGUAACACGUGGGCAAUCUGCCCUGCACUCUGGGAUAAGCCUGGGAAACUGGGUCUAAUACCGGAUAGGACCUUUCUCCUCAUGGGGUUUGGUGGAAAGUUUUUCGGUUCAGGAUGAGCCCGCGGCCUAUCAGCUUGUUGGUGGGGUAAUGGCCUACCAAGGCGAAGACGGGUAGCCGGCCUGAGAGGGUGAUCGGCCACCUUGGGACUGAGAUACGGCCCAGACUCCUACGUGAGGCAGCAGUGGGGAAUAUUGCACAAUGGGCGAAAGCCUGAUGCAGCGACGCCGCGUGCGGGAUGACGGCCUUCGGGUUGUAAACCUCUUUCAGUAGGGACGAAGCGCAAGUGACGGUACCUGCAGAAGAAGCACCGGCUAACUACGUG